RNAcentral lists this ribosomal RNA (432 nucleotides) under uncultured bacterium. RNAcentral's name for it is "bacterial SSU rRNA". It matches the Rfam family "Bacterial small subunit ribosomal RNA", at positions 917 to 1350 of the family's 1533-position model. The record is from RNAcentral.
GGGCCCGCACAAGCGGUGGAGUAUGUGGUUUAAUUCGAUGCAACGCGAAGAACCUUACCAGGGUUUGACAUCCUGCGAAUCUCUUGGAAACGAGAGAGUGCCUUCGGGAACGCAGUGACAGGUGGUGCAUGGCUGUCGUCAGCUCGUGUCGUGAGAUGUUGGGUUAAGUCCCGCAACGAGCGCAACCCACGUCUUUAGUUGCCAGCAUUUAGUUGGGCACUCUAGAGAGACUGCCGGUGCAAACCGUGAGGAAGGUGGGGACGACGUCAAAUCAUCACGGCCCUUACGUCCUGGGCUACACACGUGCUACAAUGCUACGGACAAAGGGCAGCAAGUUCGCGAGGACAAGCAAAUCCCAUAAACCGUGGCUCAGUUCAGAUCGUAGGCUGCAACUCGCCUACGUGAAGGCGGAAUCGCUAGUAAUCGCAGGUC